Molecule: long non-coding RNA, 460 nt
Organism: Hemicordylus capensis (graceful crag lizard)
Lineage: Eukaryota; Metazoa; Chordata; Lepidosauria; Squamata; Cordylidae
Exons: 4
Source: RefSeq, a predicted model, not a curated record
UCAAAAAAGACAAACGCAGAGCUGUGCCCAGCACGGGGAAGAGGGCAGAAGAAAUGCAGUGGAAGCGAAAUCGGCUUGCCAGAUUGCAUUUCACUCAAGGGCAACGCUGUAGAAGGCUCUGGAUUGCAAUCGUCACAAAGUUGCCCCGGGACUUUGGAACGCGCUUCCUAAUGAAAUUAGAGUUUCCUCUUCUCUGAUUGUUUUUAAGAAGGACCUGAAAACAUACCUGUUUAGCCAGAUUCACAGCAAAUUCUGAACAGACACACAAAAAGCAGGAGAAGGCACAGAACACGGAGAUGCCGGGAGAUGAUCAGCAAUUCAAAGCAAGCAUCGCAAUAAAGAUCCUGGUACUGGCUGGAGCCGGCGAGCAGCUGUCCAAAGGAAAAAGGCCCAGAGCACCAAACAAGAAAGCUUUUCACCGGCCGCCAAUGAGAGCCGGCUUAAAAUAAUACCGCCACAC